Molecule: ribosomal RNA, 388 nt
Filed under: uncultured bacterium
Lineage: Bacteria
Description: bacterial SSU rRNA
Rfam family: Bacterial small subunit ribosomal RNA
Source: RNAcentral
GGCGGACGGGUGAGUAACGCGUAAGAACCUACCCCAAACUGAGGGAUAAGCCCUGGAAACAGGGUCUAAUACCGCAUAGUCUCUACGUGAGUAAAGCUACGGCGGUUUGGGAAGGGCUUGCGUAUGAUUAGCUAGUUGGUAGGGUAAUGGCCUACCAAGGCGACGAUCAUUAGCUGUUCUGAGAGGAUGAUCAGGCACACGGGGACUGAGACACGGCCCCGACUCCUACGGGAGGCAGCAGUAGGGAAUUUUCCACAAUGGGGCAACCCUGAUGGAGCGACGCCGCGUGCAGGAUGAAGGCCUUUGGGUUGUAAACUGCUUUUAUCUGUGACGAAUAUGACGGUAGCAGAUGAAUAAGGGUCGGCUAACUACGUGCCAGCCGCCGCGG